UCGCAGCCAGGUCAAUACGGUGGCGCU
Molecule: small RNA, 27 nt
Filed under: Bombyx mori (domestic silkworm)
Lineage: Eukaryota; Metazoa; Arthropoda; Insecta; Lepidoptera; Bombycidae
Description: ovarian small RNA-28579
Source: RNAcentral